Gasterosteus aculeatus aculeatus (three-spined stickleback) is the source of this 1716-nucleotide long non-coding RNA. The record is from Ensembl. NCBI's taxonomy places the organism in Eukaryota, Metazoa, Chordata, Actinopteri, Perciformes, Gasterosteidae.
CCAUCUCUUUCUGUACUGGAGGGGCACUAGGUGAUAAAUUCAACUCUUAGCGAAGCCCAUUGGCCAAACACCAAGUACAUGUUGUCCCAGAGCUUUUAUAGUGUUUAUUGUUCCGUUUUCAGUGACGUGUACAGUUUCUGAUACCUGCCCUUAAUCACUCGAGAGUUACAUUAUCAUCCGUCACCUCUACACUUCAGGCUGGCUGAUUGCCUGAGCGUCCUUUAAGUCUAUUCACACAAAGCAUCCAAGACCCUAAAUCAUCCGUAGGCCUACGUUUCCCGCUCUUCUGGCACAUGGACAGGACUCCCAAACAGUUAACAUCCAGGACGAUUGACAAUGACGCGACAAGUGACACAAGAGACACACAACUUAAAUAAACUAGGGAGGUGCAGGUGAUUGGACACAGGUGGAAACUAUCAGACGAUCACAGGGGAUGACAGGACAAGGCAGGAAGUGAAGUUACCCGGUUACUCUAGAAGCAACCAACAUCUGCCUCAAGUCUUCGAGAAUAAACAAUCGUCCACGUCCACACUGCAUUAACUUCCCAGGAGACCCCUGCCAACCUGUCAGUGUGUUUACAUGAUGGUAUAAUUCGAAUCUUCGAGUCGGCCUAUGCCAUCUUUCGGGGGAAGGUGCUAUUAUCCCAAUACGUGAAUAAAUCAAAUCAUUGGCCGAAAGCAUGUCAUAUCCAAUACGAUAGGUGGCGCUGUUUUCAUUACAACUAGUUGUGAUACAGCCAUUUCCGCUUGACCUCUGCACCACUACCAACAACAACAACAUCAACAUUACACGAAAGAUGGCGAACGGAGAGCAAGGUGAAGCUACAUCCCUCUACUAUUUUUGCAUGAUGUUAAUAGGAGUACAGCGAAUGCGAAUGGCGCUAUUGGCUGAUUUGAUAACGGAGAGAAGACGCCGUCGCCGAAGGUACAUGGAGAAUUUAAUUCUGACCAACAAUAUAUUGUUGAACUCUUCCAUUGUACCGCAAAGGUCUCGAAGAGCACUCUGGAUGAAGAGCAGAAACAAAGGCUUCUGGGAGAGAGAUGUUUCGACCGUAUUUGAUGACAAAGACUGGAAAGCGAAGUUUCGCAUGACUUGAGGAUCUUUCCACAAGUUGUGUGGAAUUAUGGAAGGAGUCAUGAAGCACGCGGAGGUGACUGUUCGAGCACCAAUACCGCUGUCCUCCAAGGCGUAGUGGACGACAUGUGUCGCUUCUGGAGCAUCAACUGUAAGAUGCCUGGGUGUGCUCAUGACGCUAACGUGCUGAGGCAAUCGACGUUCAGCCAGGCACACCUGUUACCAAAAGAACCAAGAUAAAUCGAUGACGUCUCAAUCGGUAACUUCCUGUUGGGAGAUCCAGCGUAUCCUCUCAUGGACUGGAUCGUGAAAGGCUACCCCCAUUCCCCAGAGCAAGAGUCCUUCAAGGUCUACUUAAGCUCUACAAGGACCACGGUGGAGAUUGCGUUUGGGAGACUGAAGUCACGCUGGAGAGUUUUGAUGAAGCGUAGUGACUUCUACUUUACAUUCACCCCUAAAGUGAUUGCUACCAGUUGUGCAUUGCACAAUUUCUGUGAGAAUGAGAAGGAAGUUGUGAAUCCCAACUGGUCAGUGGAAGCGGCUACACAGCCAGGUGGUCGUGCCAACAAUCACGCAGACGUGAGUGCAAACUUCCCCCCGCGCAGACCAUACCUUUAGACGUCUUCAUUACAUAAUUGCCAG